Molecule: ribosomal RNA, 497 nt
Filed under: uncultured bacterium
Lineage: Bacteria
Description: partial 16S ribosomal RNA
Rfam family: Bacterial small subunit ribosomal RNA
Source: RNAcentral
GAUGAACGCUGGCGGCGUGCCUAAUACAUGCAAGUCGAGCGAACAGACGAGGAGCUUGCUCCUCUGACGUUAGCGGCGGACGGGUGAGUACCACGUGGAUAACCUACCUAUAAGACUGGGAUAACUUCGGGAAACCGGAGCUAAUACCGGAUAAUAUAUUGAACAGCAUGGUUCAAUAGUGAAAGACGGUUUUGCUGUCACUUAUAGAUGGAUCCGCGCCGCAUUAGCUAGUUGGUAAGGUAACGGCUUACCAAGGCAACGAUGCGUAGCCGACCUGAGAGGGUGAUCGGCCACACUGGAACUGAGACACGGUCCAGACUCCUACGGGAGGCAGCAGUAGGGAAUCUUCCGCAAUGGGCGAAAGCCUGACGGAGCAACGCCGCGUGAGUGAUGAAGGUCUUCGGAUCGUAAAACUCUGUUAUUAGGGAAGAACAAAUGUGUAAGUAACUAUGCACGUCUUGACGGUACCUAAUCAGAAAGCCACGGCUAACUACGUG